AUGGACCUUGGCCGCUUGAACUACGAGAUCAUUACGCUCAUCCCCAAAGUUCCUGGCGCUACGGACAUCCGCCAGUUCUGCCCAAUCACGGUUAUAAACAUGAUUUUUAGAUUUGCGAAGGGGUACGCUAAUAGGGUGACCCACCUCGCGGACACUAUAAUCCACCCCAACCAAUCGGCCUUCAUUCAAGGCCGGCUCAUUCUCGAUGGGGUGUUGAUCUUCCACGAGAUGUUGCACGAAGUCCGCUCCAAGCACCAGCGGGAGGUCUUCCUGAAGUUAGACUUCCACAAAGCCUACGACACUGUCCUCUGGCCCUUCCUCCGGGAAGUUCUGCUAUGCAAGGGCUUCGACAACCGCUAG
RNAcentral lists this ribosomal RNA (360 nucleotides) under Triticum aestivum (bread wheat). Its description in RNAcentral is "partial small subunit ribosomal RNA". The record is from RNAcentral. Lineage: Eukaryota; Viridiplantae; Streptophyta; Magnoliopsida; Poales; Poaceae.